Molecule: long non-coding RNA, 500 nt
Organism: Salvelinus sp. IW2-2015
Lineage: Eukaryota; Metazoa; Chordata; Actinopteri; Salmoniformes; Salmonidae
Source: RefSeq, a predicted model, not a curated record
UAUCCCUGCUGUCACGCUGGAGCCUGUAGUUACUGGGGCUACUGUCUCUAGCUGUAUCUCUGUUUCUUUCUCUAUGGUUCUCUGGCUGACAGAGAGCUGUCUUUACCCUGUACUGUGAGGGUGUGGAGGGAUAGAUAGUGUGUUAUUCCUUGUUCCUCUCCCAUCUCCUGAUGUCUAACCGGACUGACUGACCGUCUGCUGCUCUCUGCUCUCUCCUAGAUGGAUGAAUGGAUAGAUGUACAUGGUUCUAGCCUGUCUGUCUAACACCCUCAUUGACUAGCUGACUACAGAGGAAGAAGGAGGAGGGACACCGCAAACAUCAAUUCAGCAGGUGGCUGCCAAGCCUCUCCACGCUGUAGGAGAUUACUAAGAGGAAGACUUCAGACUCACUGAGGAGAACACAAAGAGAAGGAGGGAUACAGACAGAAAAGAGAGAAAGGAAACUGCAAGCCAAAAUGACCUGAGUGGACCAGCUGGACAGCCAGUGAGCCAGAUCCAGC